UUUGUGUUCUUCCAUGAGUUCUAAAAAUGCAUCAUGUAAUUCAUCAACAGUAAAAUCACAUUCAAGUUCAGAAUCUACCUCAUCGUCAUUAGCUAUAUGGCAGAUUUGAGCCGUCUCUUGUUGAUCUUUCUCUUCCGAACUUGACGCCUCACUUUCACUCCAUUCAGCCAUGAAGUUCUUCUUUUUAAGUUUUCGUGCCAUCCACUUCAAUUCCGGACAAUUUAUCUUGAAAUGCCCGGGCUUGUUACACUCAUAGCAAAUUGGCGUUUCCUUUUCUUUUUCCUUGUCCUUACCCUUUUCUUUGCUUGAACUACCUUU
This 318-nucleotide long non-coding RNA is filed under the name Phoenix dactylifera (date palm). RNAcentral describes it as "long non-coding RNA (PDAC_LNC012930)". Lineage: Eukaryota; Viridiplantae; Streptophyta; Magnoliopsida; Arecales; Arecaceae. The record is from RNAcentral.